UACAACUUUCAGCAACGGAUCUCUUGGCUCUCGCAUCGAUGAAGAACGCAGCGAAAUGCGAUACGUAAUGUGAAUUGCAGAAUUCAGUGAAUCAUCGAAUCUUUGAACGCACCUUGCGCUCCUUGGUAUUCCGAGGAGCAUGCCUGUUUGAGUGUCAUG
This 159-nucleotide ribosomal RNA is filed under the name uncultured Xerocomus. RNAcentral describes it as "5.8S ribosomal RNA". It matches the Rfam family "5.8S ribosomal RNA". From Rfam's summary of the family: 5.8S ribosomal RNA (5.8S rRNA) is a component of the large subunit of the eukaryotic ribosome. It is transcribed by RNA polymerase I as part of the 45S precursor that also contains 18S and 28S rRNA. Functionally, it is thought that 5.8S rRNA may be involved in ribosome translocation. Lineage: Eukaryota; Fungi; Basidiomycota; Agaricomycetes; Boletales; Boletaceae. The record is from RNAcentral.